This 653-nucleotide long non-coding RNA is filed under the name Pongo abelii (Sumatran orangutan). Its description in RNAcentral is "lincRNA". The record is from RNAcentral. Lineage: Eukaryota; Metazoa; Chordata; Mammalia; Primates; Hominidae.
UUUACCUUUGAUCCCAUCCCCAAGGCCUGCCAGAAUGAAAAUAAAGAACAAAGACAACAAAAAAAACAGCUGACAGGAACAGGAUCUUGGGAGCCAAAUAUCAGGGUCUCACUCUGUCACCCUGGCUAGAGUGCAGUGGUGCAAUCUCAGCUCACUGCAGUGUCAAUCUUCUGGGCUCAAGUGAUCUUCAGACCUCAGCCUCCUGAGUAACUGGGACCACAGGUGCAUACUACCACACCUGGCUAAUUUUUGUAUUUUUCAUAGAGACGGGGUUUUGCUAUGUUCCCUAGGCUGGUCUUGAACUCCUGAACUCAAGCAAUCCCCCUGCCUUGGCCUCCCAGAGUGUUGGGAUUACAGGCGUGAGACACCGUGCCCGGCCUGGGCUCCCAGGUUUUUACUUUGCUUUCACAUUCCCUGGAGUCCUCAGAGGGAGCAUGACUCUGUUGAUACCGUGAUUUCUGACUUUUGGCCUCCAGAACUGCGGGACAAUACAUGUCUGUUGCUUAAAGCCACCCCGUUUGUGAUAAUUACAGCAGCCCUAGAAAGCAAUAUACUUAGUGUGGAAAAACAAUGUGAAAUUUCUCAUUAGUAAUUUUUUAUGUGAAUUAAAUGAUUGAUUUGAUAAUAUUCAUUUGGGUUAAUAUAAAUAUAUU